AUUGAACGCUGGCGGCAUGCCUUACACAUGCAAGUCGAACGGCAGCGCGGGAGCAAUCCUGGUGGCGAGUGGCGAACGGGUGAGUAAUGCAUCGGAACGUGCCAUUGAGUGGGGGAUAACGUAGCGAAAGUUACGCUAAUACCGCAUAUUCUGUGCGCAGGAAAGCAGGGGAUCGCAAGACCUUGCGCUCUUUGAGCGGCCGAUGUCAGAUUAGCUAGUUGGUGAGGUAAAGGCUCACCAAGGCGACGAUCUGUAGCGGGUCUGAGAGGAUGAUCCGCCACACUGGGACUGAGACACGGCCCAGACUCCUACGGGAGGCAGCAGUGGGGAAUUUUGGACAAUGGGGGCAACCCUGAUCCAGCCAUGCCGCGUGAGUGAAGAAGGCCUGGUUGUAAGACUCUUCGUCCGGGAACGGAAUACGCACAGUAAGUAACCUCGUGUGGAGUGACGGUACCGGACGUAACGAAGACACCGGCGUAACU
This 482-nucleotide ribosomal RNA is filed under the name uncultured bacterium. Its description in RNAcentral is "bacterial SSU rRNA". It matches the Rfam family "Bacterial small subunit ribosomal RNA", at positions 30 to 502 of the family's 1533-position model. The record is from RNAcentral.